Scylla paramamosain (green mud crab) is the source of this 1382-nucleotide long non-coding RNA. RefSeq lists it as uncharacterized. The record is from RefSeq and is a predicted model, not a curated record. NCBI's taxonomy places the organism in Eukaryota, Metazoa, Arthropoda, Malacostraca, Decapoda, Portunidae. The transcript is spliced from 2 exons.
UCUCUCUCUCUCUCUCUCUCUCUCUCUCUCUCUCUCUCUCUCUCACCCCGCCUCCCGCCCUCCCGCCCCUCCCGCCAGCCAGCAGGACUCCCGCUCUCCCUCGCUGGCAACGCUGCAGCAUCCACACUUGGUUCGUGGCCGCCAUCGCGUUCAGGAGGCUCCGUUCCUCUCUCCCUCGCCGCGUCUAUCUGUGUCUUGCGGGCGCCGUUCAAUCCGCCGCUAUACCCGCCACCCACACCUCCUGUACCCAGCAAGAUCAAACCAUGACGGAAAAAUUGUAGCUCUCCACAGGCAUUUCCAAGUCAAAUGUCACAGUACCAGCCGGGGGUUAGAUAGAGCAGUAACAGUAACAGUGCACGGUGAUGUGUGGUUAGCGGCCUGGUAAGGAAGAACAGUAAGCGGAGGCCAAAAGAGGGAGAGACGGCGCGCAAAGUACACGGGAACAAAAGAAGAGACCCCGCCUCCUGCCCAGCACCGCCCGCUAGCCACACCUGCACAACAAACAUACGUCCAGUACAGUGAUUAAAAUUCCAGUGGCGGGGGACUCGUGGGCGGAAGGUGAGCGCGCGAGGAAGGCGAGAGGGCGGGCUAGCAGCUGCCUCCCCCAGAUAUGUUUGGCUGACAGGAAACAAAAAAGUGUGUCUAAGUGAGUGCUCGCGAAUCAAAAAAUAUAAAUCGUCAAGGAAAGUAAGGACCGACCGCCGCGUGACUCAGCCAGCCGUGCCGCCAUAACUCAGUCCAUGCAACAGGAGUAGAUGUGCUUAUUUUAUGUAACAAACUCCCACGCAUGCUACGGACGGAGGGCGCCCCCCGCGACUGUUCCCUUCCAGCUGUGACCCUGACCCCCGAAAGCAACAGCAACAGCAGCAGCACCGCCCCCGCUGGCCCCCGGGAGCCGCGCCCCUCCGCCCCACUCCUCCCACGCCGCCCUGCGCCUCCGUCCACCCUCUGAUACCCUGGAGUCCCCUCUCGUCAGGCGGACUUCCUCCUCGUCAGUCACGGAGACGCCCGGGCCCCCGCUGCCGGGUCCUCUGGCCUUAGCGCCAGUCUAUUCUCCGAGACCUGUCUCCGAAAACCGCCAAGAUUUUCGGCCCAAGCAGAGGCAAGAUAAUCCAACCCUUCACUAUGGACUUAGACUCGAACAUAUUCAGCAAAAGGAAGUCCUCGAUAGAUGCAAUAGUGAGGGGUAAGUUGUGUGUGUUGUGUUGUGGUGUUGUGUUGUGUUGGCGCCAGGAAGGGUGGUGGUGAGUGCCCGUGAGUGUUGUGGUCCAAAAGGCGUGUGUGGUGAGCGCCAGUGUGGUCUUGAAAAUGCAGGGUGAGUGAUACAUGUUUAUUGUUCCAAUGGCUCUACUUGUGGAUUAUACUCUUCACAUCGCGGCUUG